RNAcentral lists this ribosomal RNA (436 nucleotides) under uncultured Saccharofermentans sp. RNAcentral describes it as "bacterial SSU rRNA". It matches the Rfam family "Bacterial small subunit ribosomal RNA", at positions 341 to 792 of the family's 1533-position model. The record is from RNAcentral. Lineage: Bacteria; Bacillati; Bacillota; Clostridia; Eubacteriales; Oscillospiraceae.
ACGGGAGGCAGCAGUGGGGGAUAUUGGACAAUGGGGGAAACCCUGACCCAGCAACGCCGCGUGAAGGAUGAAGGUCUUCGGAUUGGAAACUUCUUUAAUCGGGGAAGAAAAAAAUGACCUACCCGAAGAAUAAGCCACGGCUAACUACGUGCCAGCAGCCGCGGUAAUACGUAGGUGGCAAGCGUUAUCCGGAUUUACUGGGUGUAAAGGGCGUGUAGGCGGCUCUGCAAGUCAGAAGUGAAAUUCCCGGGCUCAACCUGGGCGCUGCUUCUGAAACUGCAGAACUUGAGUACUGGAGGGGAAAGCGGAAUUCCUAGUGUAGCGGUAAAAUGCGCAGAUAUUAGGAGGAACACCGGUGGCGAAGGCGGCUUUCUGGACAGUAACUGACGCUGAGGCGCGAAAGCGUGGGGAGCAAACAGGAUUAGAUACCCUGGUA